This 127-nucleotide ribosomal RNA is filed under the name Escherichia coli. RNAcentral describes it as "partial 16S ribosomal RNA". It matches the Rfam family "Bacterial small subunit ribosomal RNA", at positions 1 to 118 of the family's 1533-position model. Lineage: Bacteria; Pseudomonadati; Pseudomonadota; Gammaproteobacteria; Enterobacterales; Enterobacteriaceae. The record is from RNAcentral.
UUAAAUUGAAGAGUUUGAUCAUGGCUCAGAUUGAACGCUGGCGGCAGGCCUAACACAUGCAAGUCGAACGGUAACAGGAAGAAGCUUGCUUCUUUGCUGACGAGUGGCGGACGGGUGAGUAAUGUCU